Molecule: non-coding RNA, 72 nt
Organism: Podarcis lilfordi (Lilford's wall lizard)
Lineage: Eukaryota; Metazoa; Chordata; Lepidosauria; Squamata; Lacertidae
Source: the annotation of a GenBank genome assembly
GGAGGCAUAGCUCAGUGGCAGAGCAUGUGUCUGGCUUGCAGAAGGUCCCAGGUUUAAUCCCUGGCAUCUCCA